UUGAAGACCCUUGAGCUUCAGCACUAAGCCUAGGAAGGGCAAAACAUCGGGUCAUCCUUUCUCGUCGAAUCAGGUGAUGCCCGAUUUAGAGAGAGGACUUUUCCUUCGAUGCAGGGCCAGGCAUUCAAGCACAGAGAUGGAGCUCCCACCUUCUCUCUUAUUAGGGAGUGGCUAAGCUUUGACGGCGAGAUAAAGUUGGCACCAUGCCGAACAUCAUUGGAGAUGCCACCCAAGACUGAAAUGCUAAACCUCAAUAGAGCCAGAUCCCUUAGCUCCGGCCAACCUCAAUCAAGGCGUUAAAGAAGAGUGUUUGGGGUGCAUUUAAAAAAAAAAAACAGAAUUUGAUCUCUUCUUCGCUAAAGUUUCCAGCCUUGUUCUUCUGAUUUUUAAAGCUUCUGAUGAUGUCUGCAAUGUCAGUGAUGAUUUUGAUUGGAUUGGCAGUGGACUUAGCGCCCCUAAGGAUCCCAUAGAGUGCGUUACUGAUUUCCUCGAUGGGUUUAAAUCAACCAAUGAGUUAAGCUUCUUGGAAGAUUUUGGAGAUUUUUUGGGAAAAUCCGAAGAGGAGAUAGAAACUACUCCAUCGAGAGAUUUUAAAUUCGGUAUAACUAAAAAGAAACCAAGGAGUAAACGGAGAUUAAAGCAGCGUGCGUGGCCGACGAAAGAUUGUGUGUUUUCUGCACUAGAAAAUCAUGAAUUCCUAAAGAGAGUUUGCACCCACUGUCAAAUUGACAAAACGCCGCAAUGGAGGAUCGGUCCACUGGGUCCGAAAACACUGUGUAACGCUUGUGGUGUGAGGUACAAUACAGGGAGGUUAUUCCCGGAGUAUCGGCCGGCUGCAAGCCCCUCUUUUGACCAGAAGAAGCAUUCAAAUCUUCAUAAGCUGAUACUGAGAAGGAGGGCCAAUUUAAUUUAAUUUAAUUUAAUUUAAUUUAAUUUAAUGAUGUGUUAUUUUAGACAUUUUUAGGUCGUAGUAAUUUUCUUAGGAUUCAUCAUGCACAGCUUUUUGUUUCUAAUUUGUUUUCUUAUAAUUAAUAUUUUAGAUAUUAGGGUUGCUUUUUCUCCACAUGUCCAUAAAUUGAGAAUCUUACCCUUGAG
Molecule: long non-coding RNA, 1095 nt
Organism: Populus euphratica (Euphrates poplar)
Lineage: Eukaryota; Viridiplantae; Streptophyta; Magnoliopsida; Malpighiales; Salicaceae
Exons: 3
Source: RefSeq, a predicted model, not a curated record